Molecule: ribosomal RNA, 465 nt
Filed under: Vreelandella stevensii
Lineage: Bacteria; Pseudomonadati; Pseudomonadota; Gammaproteobacteria; Oceanospirillales; Halomonadaceae
Description: partial 16S ribosomal RNA
Rfam family: Bacterial small subunit ribosomal RNA
Source: RNAcentral
CCUACGGGGGGCUGCAGUGGGGAAUAUUGGACAAUGGGGGGAACCCUGAUCCAGCCAUGCCGCGUGUGUGAAGAAGGCCCUCGGGUUGUAAAGCACUUUCAGUGAGGAAGAACGCCUGGUGGUUAAUACCCAUCAGGAAAGACAUCACUCACAGAAGAAGCACCGGCUAACUCCGUGCCAGCAGCCGCGGUAAUACGGAGGGUGCGAGCGUUAAUCGGAAUUACUGGGCGUAAAGCGCGCGUAGGUGGCUUGAUAAGCCGGUUGUGAAAGCCCCGGGCUCAACCUGGGAACGGCAUCCGGAACUGUCAAGCUAGAGUGCAGGAGAGGAAUGUAGAAUUCCCGGUGUAGCGGUGAAAUGCGUAGAGAUCGGGAGGAAUACCAGUGGCGAAGGAGGCCUUCUGGACUGACACUGACACUGAGGUGCGAGAGCGUGGGUAGCAAACAGGAUUAGAUACGCCAGUAGUC